Molecule: ribosomal RNA, 405 nt
Filed under: uncultured bacterium
Lineage: Bacteria
Description: partial 16S ribosomal RNA
Rfam family: Bacterial small subunit ribosomal RNA
Source: RNAcentral
AUUGAACGCUGGCGGCAGGCCUAACACAUGCAAGUCGAGCGGAGCGGCGAACGGGUGAGUAACGCGUGAGUAACUGCCCCCCUCUCUGGGAUAACAGUUGGCAACGGCUGCUAAUACCGGAUAGUGGGGGAUGACUCGCGUCCUAUCAGCUUGUUGGUGGGGUAGUGGCCUACGAAGGCGACGACGGGUAGCCGGCCUGAGAGGGCGACCGGCCACAUUGGGCUGAGAUACGGCCCAAACUCCUACGGGAGGCAGCAGUGGGGAAGAUGACACAAUGGGGGAAACCCUGAGGGAGCAACGCCGCGUGCGGGAUGACGGACUUCGGGUUGGAAACCGCUUUCAGCCAUGACGCGGUAGGGGCAGAAGAAGCACCGGCUAACUACGUGCCAGCAGCCGCGGUAAUAC